Molecule: transfer RNA, 71 nt
Filed under: Phrynosoma platyrhinos (Desert horned lizard)
Lineage: Eukaryota; Metazoa; Chordata; Lepidosauria; Squamata; Phrynosomatidae
Description: tRNA-OTHER
Source: RNAcentral
GCCAGCAUGGUAUAGUGGUUUGAGCAUUAGACUAUGACUUUGGAGACCAGGGUUUGAAUCCCCAUUUGGCC